GACGAACGCUGGCGGCGUGCUUAACACAUGCAAGUCGAACGGAAAGGCCCUGCUUUUGUGGGGUGCUCGAGUGGCGAACGGGUGAGUAACACGUGAGUAACCUGCCCUUGACUUUGGGAUAACUUCAGGAAACUGGGGCUAAUACCGGAUAGGAGCUCCUGCUGCAUGGUGGGGGUUGGAAAGUUUCGGCGGUUGGGGAUGGACUCGCGGCUUAUCAGCUUGUUGGCGGGGUAGUGGCUUACCAAGGCUUUGACGGGUAGCCGGCCUGAGAGGGUGACCGGCCACAUUGGGACUGAGAUACGGCCCAGACUCCUACGGGAGGCAGCAGUGGGGAAUAUUGCACAAUGGGCGGAAGCCUGAUGCAGCAACGCCGCGUGCGGGAUGACGGCCUUCGGGUUGUAAACCGCUUUCGCCUGUGACGAAGCGUGAGUGACGGUAAUGGGUAAAGAAGCACCGGCUAAUUACGUG
RNAcentral lists this ribosomal RNA (468 nucleotides) under uncultured bacterium. RNAcentral's name for it is "partial 16S ribosomal RNA". It matches the Rfam family "Bacterial small subunit ribosomal RNA", at positions 28 to 507 of the family's 1533-position model. The record is from RNAcentral.